UCCGAUUUGUCACCGGCAGUCUCCCUAGAGUCCCCGGCAUUAUCCGCUGGCAACUAGGGACAGGGGUUGCGCUCGUUGCGGGACUUAACCCAACAUCUCACGACACGAGCUGACGACAACCAUGCACCACCUGUGUAGAGCCCCGAAGGACACCGUAUCUCUACGGCUUUUCUCUACAUGUCAAGCCCAGGUAAGGUUCUUCGCGUUGCUUCGAAUUAAACCACAUGCACCACCGCUUGUGCGGGCCCCCGUCAAUUCCUUUGAGUUUCAGCCUUGCGGCCGUACUCCCCAGGCGGAGUGCUUAUCGGGUUACCUUCGGCACUGAGGGAAGUAACGCCCCCAACACCUAGCACUCAUCGUUUACGGCGUGGACUAC
Molecule: unclassified non-coding RNA, 376 nt
Filed under: uncultured bacterium
Lineage: Bacteria
Description: contains 16S-23S intergenic spacer region
Source: RNAcentral